AGGAGAAAGGUGGGUGUUUGCUCCCAUCGCCAGCCUGGCUGAACGGGCAGCCCGGAGCCCAAGCCCAUGGUCCCAGCUCCAGGGCUCCUGUGGCAUGCAGCUCCUCCACGAGAGGAGAAACACCAGUGCACGCCCUUGAAUGAGCGGGUCUCACUUGGAUGCAUGAGGGAGAUGGGAGCUAGAGCCUCACCAAUGCCAGCAGCCCCCACCACAAGGGCAAGCACAGGUUGGUUCUUACAGCCUGGAGGAAACCAGGAGAAGUUCCAUCUUUGGUGCAGCACACAGGAACAAUGGCUUUGGGCUUUCCCAUUUAAAAACAAACAAACAAAACCAAGAAACAGAAGGCUUCAGCAUAUCUGAUCCUGGAGGCUUUUGGUUCCUAAAGAGAAAAUAAAAAGAAGCUUGGAUUGGGGAACAAAGCCAAAAAAGGAGAGUUUGUUUUCAGUGGAAGUUCCAGGUGCUCCCAGGGGGCUCUGUGUGGCUGGGACAGAGGCUUGCUUUCUGCCUCAACACCUCUACCUGAUGUUUCUUAGGAUGCUGAAGCGGUUUCCACUGAGGCAGCUUCUCUUUAAUGGACGAAGCACCACCACGCACAGGAAAAUAUCAGCUUCCUUCUGAAAAGGGUAACUUUGUCAGAACACAGAACUGUCUGCAUUUUUGGAGAUUAAUUUGACCUUUUUCAGCACGUUUCCUCCCUGACUCACUUUCACUCAGAAUUUCCCUGGACGCAAAACCUUUUUCUGUCCCAUUUGCUCACCAGCCCCAUCCGAUCCCCCAAACCCUCCAAGAAGUGCUGAGUGUCGCGGCUGCUGUCAAACAAGCAAAUGUGUUCCCAUGCCCCAGUUUCUCCAUUUAAGCAAAUGAUGCUUUUUCACCAUUGCAAAGCAUCUCUUGACUUCUACGGUUGCCGAAGACCGAUUGCAACAGGUUUAUAUUUAUGUUUACAGCCACCUGUACAACCAGCACAGCACGGACCCAUGGGUGAUGCUGCGAGGUUUGCCCUGGGUGGCAAACAUACAGUCUCCCCCAGAAGGAGAAAAAGAAUUGCAGGUGUGGAUGGGAGGGAGACUGUUUAUCUUAGAGCACGUGGAUUAAUUGCAGCAGGUCUUGGUUUUAAACCAAUAUUUAGUCUCGGACGCUUUGCUCUCCCUGUUCCCGUGCCUGCUGCUGCCAGUUCAUGGUUGUGGUGGUGGGGGAGAUGUGGGAGCUCGGAGAGCAGGGUGGGGAAAUGUCUGAGAUUUCCCCCAUUUUAUCUCCCGACACCUGUAAGCAAUAUUUACCUGUUCCCAUCCGCUAUUACCAUCCUGCAAAAUGAUGCAAUGAAAGGCUUUGAUCUACAAAUGGAUUAAAAUCGGCCUCCAGAAAGCUGAUUGCCACCGAGCCUCUGCUGCUCUCCUCUGACCUCAGCCCCUCUCAGCCUAUUUGCAUCGAUCUGUCAUGAAGACACAUCCCUAUUUCCAAACAUGACCCGGAGGGAGAGCUUGGAGCCCAUGAAGCUGUUUUCUGCCCUGGGCUUGAGUCGCCCCCCCCCCACGCAUUUCCCCACUGUGUAGUGGCUACAAGAGCCAGCACAGAGCAUUGCCACCACCGCCCUGAGUCUUGCCACUGAAUGGCUGCGGUUCUUUGCUCUCUGCACCUAUUUAUUCUGUUUUUCCUAUUGCGGGGGCUCUGCUGCUCUGCAGCCCUUUAUCUUGAUCACAAGUCUUGCUCAGCUUCUGGGUGAGCCGCCCGCACAACAAAGCAAAACCAAGCAAAGUGAAGCAAAACGCUGCUGCCUUGACAAUGGGCCGCUCCCAACCUGCCCCGCGAGCAGAAGUGAGACGGGGAGCUCUUUGCACGUGGACGUGAAACCAAUCUCACAUGUAACUCUGAGUCACCGCGAUGUUUGCCUUGGUUUUUUGGGUGUUCAUGGCAAUGCUCAGAACCCCAGCUUGGGUGGACUCGCAGAAAUCUCCGUGCUGCAUCUAUGUGAUUUUCAGUGGUGCAGCGUAGGAGAGAGGUUUGGCACCAAGCAGCGCUGAGCAUCAACAAGAAGAUGGCCCAAUAUUUUAAGAAAUGUGGGUCCCGUGCUGGCUUACCAGCUCCUUUAGGUGCUCACUGAUGAGCCACGCGUGAGGUGCACCAAACUGAAAGCAUUCAGCCUGCAGCAGAAGUUUGCAACGGCCCGGGCUUUGGUCUUAGCCAGCCCCGCAUUGCUCUGAUGCUGGAGCUCAGGGCACUCCCACACGCUGGGACCAAGCUGAGCGCAUGGGUGCAGCAGAGCUUUGCUUUCUUCUCUCUUGUUCUCUGCUUUUUUUCUCCCUUUUU
Numida meleagris (helmeted guineafowl) is the source of this 2307-nucleotide long non-coding RNA. RefSeq lists it as uncharacterized. The record is from RefSeq and is a predicted model, not a curated record. The transcript has 4 exons. Lineage: Eukaryota; Metazoa; Chordata; Aves; Galliformes; Numididae.